AGUGAACGCUGGCGGUAGGCCUAACACAUGCAAGUCGAACGGCAGCACAGUAAGAGCUUGCUCUUACGGGUGGCGAGUGGCGGACGGGUGAGGAAUACAUCGGAAUCUACUUUUUCGUGGGGGAUAACGUAGGGAAACUUACGCUAAUACCGCAUACGACCUACGGGUGAAAGCAGGGGAUCUUCGGACCUUGCGCGAUUGAAUGAGCCGAUGUCGGAUUAGCUAGUUGGCGGGGUAAAGGCCAACCAAGGCGACGAUCCGUAGCUGGUCUGAGAGGAUGAUCAGCCACACUGGAACUGAGACACGGUCCAGACUCCUACGGGAGGCAGCAGUGGGGAAUAUUGGACAGUGGGGGCAAGCCUGAUCCAGCCAUACCGCGUGGGUGAAGAAGGCCUUCGGGUUGUAAAGCCCUUUUGUUGGGAAAGAAAAGCAGCAGGUUAAUACCCCGCUGUUCUGACGGUACCCAAAGAAUAAGCACCGGCUAACUUCGUG
This 492-nucleotide ribosomal RNA is filed under the name uncultured bacterium. RNAcentral's name for it is "partial 16S ribosomal RNA". It matches the Rfam family "Bacterial small subunit ribosomal RNA", at positions 29 to 507 of the family's 1533-position model. The record is from RNAcentral.